This 762-nucleotide unclassified non-coding RNA is filed under the name Hevea brasiliensis (rubber tree). Lineage: Eukaryota; Viridiplantae; Streptophyta; Magnoliopsida; Malpighiales; Euphorbiaceae. The record is from RNAcentral.
AGAGAACGGAGAGCAAGAAUUCUGACGCGGCAAUAACGGAGCUCAUACACUGACGCUGCACGGCCGUACCAACUGGUAUUUAACGGCGUUAUUACCGACGAUAAUACCGGCGGUAGGAUUUCCGAACAUGAUAGCCGCCGGACAGUCGACGUUGAGAUGGUAGCGGCCGGAGAUGAAGGUACCGACCUUGAAUCGGACGCGACCAUCGAGUUUGAUCGACAACUGGACGGUGCCGACGGCCUGGUCCUGAUUCAGAGCGGCGCCGUUGUACGGAGAGAUUGGAACGGCGUUACCGACGAGGAACGGAGACCAGAUGUUGAGAUCGUUGUGGCCUUGGUAGGUAGGUUGAAUGACGGUACGGAGAGUGAUCUGUUGGUUCCGGUAAACGGCGUAGACGUCGAGGCGGUCGUAGUAGAUGCCGAUCUUGUCGUUAGGGUUCCGGGAGGAGACGGUGACUUGGAUACUGGAGGAGAUAAAGUUAGCGGCGGUGACAUUGAAGAUGAAGACGGUGGCGUCUUGGAUGAUGAAUUUGGGCUUUGUAGGCUGAAGAAUCGCCCAAAUUAGGAGGAUAGUGAGGAGGACGAGGAAGAGGAAAAUGAGAACUCCGGCGUAAAUUCGGCGGAUUAGCUUUGGCCGUUUUUUGCUGUGGUGAACGCAUUCCUUUGACAUGUCGUCGACGGUGCCGGAGGAUCAGAUGAGAGAGAAGAAGGUGGGUUUUGAAGUCGUUGUUCUUCCACUAUCUCUCUCUGAUCAGUAGUAGGA